This 871-nucleotide ribosomal RNA is filed under the name human gut metagenome. Its description in RNAcentral is "bacterial SSU rRNA". It matches the Rfam family "Bacterial small subunit ribosomal RNA", at positions 337 to 1210 of the family's 1533-position model. The record is from RNAcentral.
UCCUACGGGAGGCAGCAGUGAGGAAUAUUGGUCAAUGGGCGGAAGCCUGAACCAGCCAUGCCGCGUGCGGGAAGGAGGCCCUAUGGGCUGUGAACCGCUUUUGCCUGGGGGCAAUAAGGGCGUCGCGCACGUCCGAUGAGAGUACCAGGCGAAUAAGCAUCGGCUAACUCCGUGCCAGCAGCCGCGGUAAUACGGGGGAUGCGAGCGUUAUCCGGAUUCAUUGGGUUUAAAGGGUGCGUAGGCUGUGCGUCAAGUCGGGGGUGAAAUUCCGGUGCUCAACACCGGGGCUGCCCUUGAUACUGUCGCGCUGGAGUGCGGAUGCCGCCGGAGGAAUGAGUGGUGUAGCGGUGAAAUGCUUAGAUAUCACUCAGAACACCGAUUGCGAAGGCAUCUGGCGAAUCCGUAACUGACGCUGAGGCACGAAAGCGUGGGGAUAGAACAGGAUUAGAUACCCUGGUAUUCCACGCCGUAAACGAUGAUGGCUAACCGCCGGCGACACACUGUCGGUGGCCAAGCGAAAGCGAUAAGCCAUCCACCUGGGGAGUACGUCGGCAACGAUGAAACUCAAAGGAAUUGACGGGGGCCCGCACAAGCGGAGGAACAUGUGGUUUAAUUCGAUGAUACGCGAGGAACCUUACCCGGGCUCGAACGGCACCUGAAUCACCCAGAGAUGGGCGAGUCUUCGGACAGGUGUCGAGGUGCUGCAUGGUUGUCGUCAGCUCGUGCCGUGAGGUGUCGGCUCAAGUGCCAUAACGAGCGCAACCCUUGCCGCCAGUUGCCAUCAGGUGAUGCUGGGCACUCUGGCGGGACUGCCACCGCAAGGUGUGAGGAGGGGGGGGAUGACGUCAAAUCAGCACGGCCCUUACGUCCG